This is a non-coding RNA of Caenorhabditis elegans, 129 nucleotides long. The record is from Ensembl. Lineage: Eukaryota; Metazoa; Nematoda; Chromadorea; Rhabditida; Rhabditidae.
CUUGUUUUUUGCCGCCUUCAUCGGAUGUUUUUUUUUCUGUUUGGAGGGUCGAAUAAGGGGAAGGAAUUUGGAAUGAAAUGAAUACGAUUGAAGAGAGAAGACAUACUUCCGAUGUCUUUGCGUUUCUCU